GUGCUUUCUUCGGCAGCACAUGCACUAAAAUUAGAAUAAUACAGAGAAGAUUAGCAUGGCCCAUGUGCAAGGAUGACAUGCAAAUUCGUGAAGUAUUGCAUUUCUUU
Vombatus ursinus (common wombat) is the source of this 107-nucleotide small nuclear RNA. The record is from Ensembl. Lineage: Eukaryota; Metazoa; Chordata; Mammalia; Diprotodontia; Vombatidae.